RNAcentral lists this ribosomal RNA (253 nucleotides) under uncultured bacterium. RNAcentral's name for it is "partial 16S ribosomal RNA". It matches the Rfam family "Bacterial small subunit ribosomal RNA", at positions 524 to 776 of the family's 1533-position model. The record is from RNAcentral.
UACAGAGGUCCCAAGCGUUGUUCGGAUUCACUGGGCGUAAAGGGCGUGUAGGCGGGAUGGCAAGUCGGUCGUGAAAUCCUUCGGCUCAACCGAAGAACGUCGGCCGAUACUGCCGUUCUUGAGGGAUGCAGAGGAGAUUGGAAUUCCCGGUGUAGCGGUGAAAUGUGUAGAGAUCGGGAGGAACACCGGUGGCGAAGGCGGGUCUCUGGGCAUCUCCUGACGCUGAGGCGCGAAAGCGUGGGGAGCAAACAGG